GGAGACGUGGCUGAGCGGUUGAAAGCGGCUCCGUGCUAAGGAGUUAAGGGCUUUAAAACCCUUCAGAGGUUCGAAUCCUCUCGUCUCCGCCA
Molecule: transfer RNA, 92 nt
Filed under: Candidatus Sungbacteria bacterium RIFCSPHIGHO2_01_FULL_50_25
Lineage: Bacteria; Candidatus Sungiibacteriota
Description: tRNA-Ser
Rfam family: tRNA
About the family: Transfer RNA (tRNA) molecules are approximately 80 nucleotides in length. Their secondary structure includes four short double-helical elements and three loops (D, anti-codon, and T loops).
Source: RNAcentral